RNAcentral lists this long non-coding RNA (458 nucleotides) under Mytilus galloprovincialis (Mediterranean mussel). The record is from RNAcentral. Lineage: Eukaryota; Metazoa; Mollusca; Bivalvia; Mytilida; Mytilidae.
GGCAAUUGCCAAUGGCAGUCAGCAGGGUUAAAGAACAUCAGUUGUUCGACCUGUUAGUCAAAUGCGUUUUGUUUAAAUAUACUUUUUCACUAUUUUGGUCUUUUGGAAAAUGUUGUUUGUGCUGUUUUUAGACCCUUCUACAACGAAAUUUGUUUUACAUGCACACGUAUAAAAAUUGCGGUUUUUAUCCAACGCAAUCAUAGGUUUGAACGUAGUUUUCAAUUUAGACUCGUUUAUAUUUUUCCGUUUGGGCUUGUAUCAUAUUUUCCCUCCGGUUUAUAUGAUCUGUUCAUCAUCUAUUGACUCUUAAAAUUCAAGAGUCUAUCUAAAAAAGGAGUACUUUUUCUAAAAAUGAGGGUAUUUUUUUUAUAUGGCCUUCCAUAUACCGUUUCGAUCCCUAACAUCACUGAAGAGACAUUUAUUGUCGAAAUCCGGAUCUGGUGUACUAAAAAAAUAUU